GCCCAGACCACCAGCUAAGGUCCCAAAAUAUAUGUUAAGUGGAAAAGGAUGUGGCGUUGCCCAGACAACUAGGAUGUUGGCUUAGAAGCAGCCAUCAUUUAAAGAGUGCGUAAUAGCUCACUAGUCGAGUGACACUGCGCCGAAAAUGUACCGGGGCUAAACAUAUUACCGAAGCUGUGGAUUGUCCUUUGGACAAUGGUAGGAGAGCGUUCUAAGGGCGUUGAAGCAUGAUCGUAAGGACAUGUGGAGCGCUUAGAAGUGAGAAUGCCGGUGUGAGUAGCGAAAGACGGGUGAGAAUCCCGUCCACCGAUUGACUAAGGUUUCCAGAGGAAGGCUCGUCCGCUCUGGGUUAGUCGGGUCCUAAGCUGAGGCCGACAGGCGUAGGCGAUGGAUAACAGGUUGAUAUUCCUGUACCACCUAUAAUCGUUUUAAUCGAUGGGGGGACGCAGUAGGAUAGGCGAAGCGUGCGAUUGGAUUGCACGUCUAAGCAGUAAGGCUGAGUAUUAGGCAAAUCCGGUACUCGUUAAGGCUGAGCUGUGAUGGGGAGAAGACAUUGUGUCUUCGAGUCGUUGAUUUCACACUGCCGAGAAAAGCCUCUAGAUAGAAAAUAGGUGCCCGUACCGCAAACCGACACAGGUAGUCAAGAUGAGAAUUCUAAGGUGAGCGAGCGAACUCUCGUUAAGGAACUCGGCAAAAUGACCCCGUAACUUCGGGAGAAGGGGUGCUCUUUAGGGUUAACGCCCAGAAGAGCCGCAGUGAAUAGGCCCAAGCGACUGUUUAUCAAAAACACAGGUCUCUGCUAAACCGUAAGGUGAUGUAUAGGGGCUGACGCCUGCCCGGUGCUGGAAGGUUAAGAGGAGUGGUUAGCUUCUGCGAAGCUACGAAUCGAAGCCCCAGUAAACGGCGGCCGUAACUAUAACGGUCCUAAGGUAGCGAAAUUCCUUGUCGGGUAAGUUCCGACCCGCACGAAAGGCGUAACGAUUUGGGCACUGUCUCAACGAGAGACUCGGUGAAAUCAUAGUACCUGUGAAGAUGCAGGUUACCCGCGACAGGACGGAAAGACCCCGUGGAGCUUUACUGUAGCCUGAUAUUGAAAUUCGGCACAGCUUGUACAGGAUAGGUAGGAGCCUUUGAAACGUGAGCGCUAGCUUACGUGGAGGCGCUGGUGGGAUACUACCCUAGCUGUGUUGGCUUUCUAACCCGCACCACUUAUCGUGGUGGGAGACAGUGUCAGGCGGGCAGUUUGACUGGGGCGGUCGCCUCCUAAAAGGUAACGGAGGCGCUCAAAGGUUCCCUCAGAAUGGUUGGAAAUCAUUCAUAGAGUGUAAAGGCAUAAGGGAGCUUGACUGCGAGACCUACAAGUCGAGCAGGGUCGAAAGACGGACUUAGUGAUCCGGUGGUUCCGCAUGGAAGGGCCAUCGCUCAACGGAUAAAAGCUACCCCGGGGAUAACAGGCUUAUCUCCCCCAAGAGUUCACAUCGACGGGGAGGUUUGGCACCUCGAUGUCGGCUCAUCGCAUCCUGGGGCUGUAGUCGGUCCCAAGGGUUGGGCUGUUCGCCCAUUAAAGCGGUACGCGAGCUGGGUUCAGAACGUCGUGAGACAGUUCGGUCCCUAUCCGUCGUGGGCGUAGGAAAUUUGAGAGGAGCUGUCCUUAGUACGAGAGGACCGGGAUGGACAUACCUCUGGUGUACCAGUUGUCGUGCCAACGGCAUAGCUGGGUAGCUAUGUGUGGACGGGAUAAGUGCUGAAAGCAUCUAAGCAUGAAGCCCCCCUCAAGAUGAGAUUUCCCAACUUCGGUUAUAAGAUCCCUCAAAGAUGAUGAGGUUAAUAGGUUCGAGGUGGAAGCAUGGUGACAUGUGGAGCUGACGAAUACUAAUCGAUCGAAGACUUAAUCAA
RNAcentral lists this ribosomal RNA (1896 nucleotides) under Staphylococcus aureus. Its description in RNAcentral is "partial 23S ribosomal RNA". It matches the Rfam family "Bacterial large subunit ribosomal RNA", at positions 1025 to 2925 of the family's 2925-position model. The record is from RNAcentral. RNAcentral also lists the same sequence under 1 other name. Lineage: Bacteria; Bacillati; Bacillota; Bacilli; Caryophanales; Staphylococcaceae.